GGAGCAUGUGGCUUAAUUUGACUCAACGCGGGAAAUCUUACCGGGUCCGGACACACUGAGGAUUGACAGGUAACGUUAUACACACAUAUAUUUACUCUCUCGUAUUUUUACUGCUGUGUAUAUAUAAAAUAUGCUAGUCCUUUCAUGAUUAUGUGAUAGGUGGUGCAUGGCCGUUCUUAGUUCGUGGAGUGAUCUGUCUGCUUAAUUGCGUUUCACUAAGGAUCUAUAUUCAUAUUACGCAUAGCAUUUUGACCCCUUUAUGCUUCGGUAUAAAGCUGCGCGUCAAACCUUGCUAUCUGCGUAUAUUAGAUCCAGAAAGCAACGAACGUGACCGCAACCUCUUGUUGCCUUUAACUAGGUUUUGCUUACGUAUAGCUUCGGCUUUACGCUUUGCAUCUAAAAAGGCUGAUUUUCUAAACUAGAGGGACCGCUGUUACUUUCUUAAACCAGAGGAAGGUUGCGGCAAUAACAGGU
RNAcentral lists this ribosomal RNA (474 nucleotides) under Nonionella sp. T1. RNAcentral's name for it is "SSU rRNA". It matches the Rfam family "Eukaryotic small subunit ribosomal RNA", at positions 1178 to 1461 of the family's 1831-position model. Lineage: Eukaryota; Foraminifera; Rotaliida; Nonionidae. The record is from RNAcentral.